GCCGAGGUAGCUCAGCUGGUAGAGCACGACUCUGAAGAAGUCGGUGUCGCCGGUUCAAGUCCGGCCCUCGGCA
RNAcentral lists this transfer RNA (73 nucleotides) under Chloroflexota bacterium. Its description in RNAcentral is "tRNA-Phe". It matches the Rfam family "tRNA". Rfam says of the family: Transfer RNA (tRNA) molecules are approximately 80 nucleotides in length. Lineage: Bacteria; Bacillati; Chloroflexota. The record is from RNAcentral.